AGCGAACGCUGGCGGCAGGCUUAACACAUGCAAGUCGAACGCACCUUUCGGGGUGAGUGGCCGACGGGUGAGUAACGCGUGGGAAGCUACCCUUCUCUACGGGAUAGCUCCGGGAAACUGGAAUUAAUACCGUAUACGUCCUGAUGGAGAAAGAUUUAUCGGGGAAGGAUGAGCCCGAGUGGGAUUAGCUAGUUGGUGGGGUAAAGGCAUACCAAGGCGACGAUCCAUAGCUGGUCUAAGAGGAUGAUCAGCCACACUGGGACUGGGACGCGGCCCAAACUCCUACGCGAGGGGGGAGUGGGGGAUAGAGGAAAAUGGGCGCAGGCCUGAUGCUGCCAGGCCGGGUGAGUGAUGAAGGCAGUAGAGUUGUAAAGCGCUUUCAGUGGGGACGAUAAUGACGGUACCCACAGAAGAAGCCCCGGCUAACUUCGUG
RNAcentral lists this ribosomal RNA (433 nucleotides) under uncultured bacterium. RNAcentral describes it as "partial 16S ribosomal RNA". It matches the Rfam family "Bacterial small subunit ribosomal RNA", at positions 29 to 507 of the family's 1533-position model. The record is from RNAcentral.